UACGGGGGGGGCAAGCGUUGUUCGGAAUUACUGGGCGUAAAGGGCUCGUAGGGGGUCAACUAAGUCGGACGUGAAAUCCCUCGGCUUAACCGGGGAACUGCGUCCGAUACUGGAUGACUUGAGUUCGGGAGAGGUGAGUGGAACUGCGAGUGUAGAGGUGAAAUUCGUAGAUAUUCGCAAGAACACCAGUGGCGAAGGCGGCUCACUGGCCCGAUACUGACGCUGAGGCACGAAAGCGUGGGGAGCAAACAGG
RNAcentral lists this ribosomal RNA (253 nucleotides) under uncultured bacterium. Its description in RNAcentral is "partial 16S ribosomal RNA". It matches the Rfam family "Bacterial small subunit ribosomal RNA", at positions 524 to 776 of the family's 1533-position model. The record is from RNAcentral.